This 532-nucleotide unclassified non-coding RNA is filed under the name Neoscytalidium hyalinum. RNAcentral's name for it is "partial contains 18S rRNA, ITS1, 5.8S rRNA, ITS2 and 28S rRNA". The stretch from base 196 to 349 matches the Rfam family "5.8S ribosomal RNA". Lineage: Eukaryota; Fungi; Ascomycota; Dothideomycetes; Botryosphaeriales; Botryosphaeriaceae. The record is from RNAcentral.
UUGCGGAAGGAUCAUUACCGAGGGGAUUCGGGCUCCGGCCCGAUCCUCCCACCCUUUGUGUACCCACCUCUGUUGCUUUGGCGGGCCGCGGUCCUCCGCGGCCGCCCUCCGUCCGGGGGGUGGCCAGCGCCCGCCAGAGGACCAUCGAACUCCGGUCAGUGAACGUUGCCGUCUGAAAAACAAUCAAUAAACUAAAACUUUCAACAACGGAUCUCUUGGUUCUGGCAUCGAUGAAGAACGCAGCGAAAUGCGAUAAGUAAUGUGAAUUGCAGAAUUCAGUGAAUCAUCGAAUCUUUGAACGCACAUUGCGCCCCUCGGUAUUCCGAGGGGCAUGCCUGUUCGAGCGUCAUUACAACCCUCAAGCUCUGCUUGGUGUUGGGCACCGCCCUUCCGCGGGCGCGCCUCAAAGACCUCGGCGGUGGCGUCUUGCCUCGAGCGUAGUAGAAAACACCUCGCUUUGGAGCGCACGGCGCCGCCCGCCGGACGAACCUUUUGAACUUUCUCAAGGUGACCUCGAUCAGUAGAUCCAGUC